RNAcentral lists this transfer-messenger RNA (351 nucleotides) under uncultured Eubacterium sp. It matches the Rfam family "transfer-messenger RNA". From Rfam's summary of the family: Bacterial tmRNA, also known as 10Sa RNA or SsrA, is named for its dual tRNA and mRNA-like properties. Its role is to liberate the mRNA from a stalled ribosome. The record is from RNAcentral. RNAcentral also lists the same sequence under 1 other name. Lineage: Bacteria; Bacillati; Bacillota; Clostridia; Eubacteriales; Eubacteriaceae.
GGGGUUGUACUGGUUUCGACGGGGUUUUUGAAGCCGGUGAAGCGAGCCGCACGGGAUGCGUUAAAUUCCGACCUUAAAUAUAAACGCUAAGAAAGAUAAUACUAGAUUAGCAUUCGCUGCUUAAUUGCAGCGGCUUGUCUGACUGAUCGCACCCGCACUUUCGGAUCAGGCAUCAACUUAUGCGGGAAACGGUCUGUGCAAAGCUUUGCGCACGGAUACGUAUCAUGAAGCUACCAAAGCGCGUAACCCGCUGUCGGGUGCCGCGUAGAGGGAAUGUUAAAACGACAGCUACGCUCGUAGAAGAACGGUGAAUAGGAUUUCGGACGCGGGUUCGAUUCCCGCCAGCUCCAU